CGACCAUUUUCUAUGGUGUGAGAUCGAGACAACACGGAAUGGGAUCUGAUGUUGGGAGUUACAGAGGUAAUUCAUGGCAGCAGCUCUUUGAAAAGGAGAUCCGAAAUUCGUUAAUCUUCGGGUUGCCGGCAUCAAUCUGAGAUGGUGAAUCAAAUAGAUGGGUAUUGAUUAUUUAUGUUGUUGGUGCUAGAAUUUUGAAGACGAAUUGAUUGGAUAUGGAGUGGAUCUACUGUGAGUUUUUGAUUCUUAAGCAGGUAGCGGCUAAGUUUGGGAUUGCUUUGCAAUUAGUGAUUGAGAAAUGACAGUAGGUGAAGAGAAAACUGUGAAGAGAGAAUGGAGAUGGAAUUGAACUGCAACAGCGGCAACGGAGUUGGGGGUGUUGAUUUAUUUUAGUGACAAGGGGUUCUCGCCAUGUAACCGUAGGCUGAAAUGGGUUCUGGUUUAAUUGGUUUUCUAUGGAGUUGUACUAUGGAAUUCGGGUCUGCUGGUAUGUAUCAAAUGAAGGAGAAUCUGCUGGGUAUGGUACAUACGGUGGUGAACUGAGAGCUUGGGGGUUGUUCAUUUGUACAUUAAGAAGACACAGCAGAAGAUUGAGGAGUUAUCUGUUAACUGAACUUGUUCCGUUUUGUAUGGGGUUAAGAGCAGCAGUCGAUUGCAUCUGGGUUUAAUUGGACAUUUGAGACAUUAGACUUAAUUGAGAUGAUGUGCCUGCGAAGAAAAGAUGGAGAUUUCGAUGGGUAAUGGAGAUGCCAAUCAGGCUUCUAUGGAAAUGAUGAUGGUUAGUGUGUUGUUCUCAUUCAUAGCAGUGGGGAAUUGUGCAGCCAUACAACAGCAAGAAACGAAAGUGGAGAUGUGAAUGAAGAUGGAAUGAAGCUUGGGUUAGUGGUAAUCUGUAUUGUGCACACUGGAAUUAGUGAUGAUCUAUAUGUGCUGACAUUUCUAUGAGGCUAAUGUUAUCACUGGGUGAAGAUGAGAGAAAGAAGGUAUGUAUCAGUGGGUUAGCCGAUUGUGGCUGAGUUAGUUUUGCCUGUGAAGGAAGACGUUCAGAUGGUCCAGUGCUGUAGUUGGAUUGAGGAAAGAGUAUUCGGAUUUGAAAUGGUUGGGAGAUGGGUUCUGUACAGGACCUGGAUUUGGCUAUUGGUGUUCGUAUUCAGAUUUGGCUAUUGGUUUUGCCUGUGAAGGAAGACGUUCAGAUGGUCCAGUGUUGUAGUUGGAUUGAGGAAAGAGUAUUUGGAUUUGAAAUGGUUGGGAGAUGAGAUUUGUACAGGACCUGGAUUUGGCUAUUGGUGUUCGUAAUUGGACCGGGUUUUGGAGGUGCUGGUAGCAGUCACAAAGAGAGAAUUGAGAUGCAUAUAUAAACGAAAGGCAGAGACGAAUGGAGGGAGGCCGUUUUACAAGGAAGAAACUAGGUUUAAGUUUUCUUUCCUUUUACUAUGAUUAGAUCAUUAUUUUCUAUAUCAAUUUCUAUGGUUUUUGAGAAAGCCAUGACUUGCUAAACCUUUAUUAGGGUGACAGGAUGAACUUGUAGGCUAGAUUAUUUGUGUUUACAAACAAGAGUUUCUUUAAUCAAAAGCUUAUUGUUAUGUUUGAGUAUCUCACAUAUUGGUUGUUGUUUUAUAAACCUUUUCAUGUUUUAUGCCAAGUAUACUACAUAGGGAAGUUAUAGACAAUCCCAUUGUGACCUGAUUGAUAUUAGAUUCAUGAACACUCUUCUACUUUGUAUGCCUUCGAGAUCAAACAGUUCUUAGUCGAUUAUCAAUAAAUCUUAACGACAUAUCUUCCAUGUUUAAGUAGCCAGGCGUUGCCAUUGUACAUGAGUAAAAUAGAGACUCUCGUGAUAAAUCACAAGUAAAUCUAGCCUAUGAAGGAUUUCCGGAUCCUUGACCCUUUUUUCAUCUUGCUCGCCACUUUAAUAAUUUUGUUUGCAUCCAAUUUAUUUGCUUGUUUUUUUUAUUAGGAAGUUGAUUGUAUUAGUUAGAAGUAGUUUAGAAAACUCCUUGUGGGAACGAACCACAUUUGCUGUUGUCUACAAUUUGGACACCGUGCGCUUGCGGUAAAACAAAGUCGGUUCUCCGAUACAUCAAGUUUUUGGCGCCGCUGUCGGGGAGUGGCUGGUAACUACUCUAGUUGAUACUUUUUAAAUCCUUUUUAUCUCUUUAGUUUGUUUGAUUUUCAGGUACCUUAGGAGCUAAAGAUUGCUCAGCCACAUAAGUUCUGUGAAAUAAAGUGUUAAUAUAAGAGCGUCGCGGGUGCAAUGGAGUCACUAUGAACAAAAGAAGGAGAAAAUAUCCAUUUGGAGCGUAAAAGGCAAAGAGGUCAAUUCACAUGGGAGCUAUACUCGGAGCGGGCUAAGGUGCACGAGAAGGAGGUGAAAAUGAACUGUCAGAGGAUAUCAACUUCCAUUCUAACACAAGACCUAAGAAUCAGAGGAGCAAUGAUCUUAUCAUUAGCCUUCCUUUCUUUCAUUAUACCCGAAUUCAGAAAUUCAUAGAAGAGAUGAACUAAUGGCGGCACCCAUUGAAGAGCAGAGAAACUGAGAGAUUCGAUGGCAGAGGACUACUACUUGGAGUUUUGGAGGAGAGCGGCGAUUCUACUAGGGUUUGUUUUUCGUAUAUUUUUCAUUUCUUUAUUUUAUGAAAAUGAUUAUGAUGAACUUCAUUACUAUGAGUAACUAAAUACAAUUAUUGGUUAUGGGAUAAAAGUUGAUUUCUCAAGCAUGAUAUUUAAAUCAAUGGAUUAGUUUUGUCUCAA
Papaver somniferum (opium poppy) is the source of this 2751-nucleotide long non-coding RNA. RefSeq lists it as uncharacterized. The record is from RefSeq and is a predicted model, not a curated record. Lineage: Eukaryota; Viridiplantae; Streptophyta; Magnoliopsida; Ranunculales; Papaveraceae. The transcript is spliced from 2 exons.